Carassius gibelio (silver crucian carp) is the source of this 2124-nucleotide RNA transcript. RefSeq lists it as uncharacterized. Lineage: Eukaryota; Metazoa; Chordata; Actinopteri; Cypriniformes; Cyprinidae. The record is from RefSeq and is a predicted model, not a curated record. The transcript is spliced from 3 exons.
AUGAAGGUCUUAACUUGCCUAAAGAUCCAAGAACACUUAUGUCCACUUUAAAAGACUGUGAAGUAAAAAAAAUGGGGAGUGGAAGUUACUAUAAUUUUGGCAUUUGUAAUGCAAUAUGCGCAGAGCUUAAGAGUGCACAAGUUGAACUCACAGACACAUUAACUCUAAGACUAAAUGUUGAUAGAAUACCGCUUUUCCGUAGUUCUAAUGCACAGUUAUGGCCCAUCCUUGGUAAAAUUAAGGAGCUACCAAGCUCAAAAGUGUUUAUGAUAAGUCUGUAUGCUGGCCCAUCUAAACCACCAUCAGUUCAUGAGUACAUGAAAGAUGUUGUUGAGGAAUUUAAAAGACUAACAAAGGAAGGCUUGUACUUCAAUGAGAAACAUUACAGUGUUCCCUUGCCUGAUGCAUUUAUAUGUGAUGCUCCUGCGCGAGCUUUUCUCAAAUGUAUAAAAGGUCACUCGGGUUACAGCUCUUGUGAGCGUUGUGUGCAUCCUGGUGUUCAUUUAAAUGGAAAAAUAGUGUACCCAGACAUGGAAGCAGCCUUGAGAACAGAUGCCCAGUUUGAUGAAAUGUUAGAUGAGGAACACCAUCGUGAUAUGUCACCUCUUCGGGAGUUGGGAGUAGGUUUAGUGACAUCUUUUGUCCUUGAUUACAUGCAUUUAGUGUGCUUAGGAAUUGUCCGUAAGCUUGUUUCACUGUGGGUUAAGGGACCCUUGACAUGUAGGAUUUCAUCAAGUGUUCUUUCUGUUGUAUCUGAGAACUUGAAACGACUUAGGCAAAAUUUGCCUAGGAAUUUCUCAAGAAAACCACGGUCCCUUUAUGAAUAUAGUCAAUGGAAAGCCACAGAGUUUAGGCAGUUUUUGUUAUAUACUGGCCCUGUUGUGUUGUUCAAUGCAUUUCCUAAACGUGUAUAUAAGAACUUUUUAGUCUUAUCAGUUGCCAUAAGAAUUCUUUUGUGUCCAGAUUUGUGCAGUGUCUAUUGUGAUUAUGCUGAAAAGUUACUGAAGUUUUUUGUCACAAAUUUUGGCAAAAUCUAUGGAUCUGAGUUUCUUGUAUAUAACACUCACAGCCUUACACAUUUGGCACAAGAUGCUCGCAAAUAUGGUGCUCUUGACUCUGUAUCAUGCUUUCCAUAUGAAAACUAUUUAGGACAAUUGAAAAGGAUGGUUAGGAGACCUCAAAAUCCUGUUGAACAAAUUGUGAGACGUGUGGAUGAGAAACAAGCUUUUAAGAGGGACUCAAAAGGAUGUUCAACAAUGGAAGAAAAUCUUAAACAGCCACAUUUCUCUGGACCUACUCCACUAGGAUUUUCCACAUACAAACAGUUUAAGCAAUGCCAAUACAAAGGAAUGACCAUCUCCUGCUCUCCGGGAAACAACUGCUUUGAAAUUAAUAGCAGAGUUGCCCUUGUUAGAAAUCUUCUGGUUUCUCCCAUGGCAGACAUUUUUGCAGUAUGUGAGUUUUUUAAUACAGGAGCAUGUUUUUUUGACUACCCUGUCACUUCUUCAAGUUUGGGGAUUACUGUCGUCUCAGCACUCACUGGUCAGCUUUUUGUUGUUCCAGUGGCACAACUUUCAAAAAAACUUGUUCUUCUCCCUAUGACUGAUGUGUAUGUGGCUUUGCCUCAGCUGCAUGAUUACUGACUCUGUACUUUAAUGGUUCAGGAUGUCCCUUUAUAGUGUAGUGGAGUUCAUUGAUGAGUACACAGACAAUGGAAGGACUGUCAUUGAUGUCAUCCCUACAAGCUGGAUUACUGGUCCAGGAAGAGAAGAAUGCUUUUGGCCAACUGGUAGGACUGUGGACAUCAGCAAGGCUGUUAAAAAACGGUUAACUCCUGGAGCAGACUGGGAAAAGUACAGCAUACGUGUCUUAGGAAAUGCAGAGACGUAUUCUGCAGCAAGAGCUAAACUUAGUAAGGCCGAGGAGACCUCAGAUAUACAAACUGACAUUGAAGUGCCAAUGAAGCGCAAAAGAUUGCCAAAUAGAAAAUUUUUUCCUUUCACCAGCGAAGAGUCAGACAGCACUGAGGAUGAACUACCACCCACACCUCCCCAUCAACUAAAAAUUACAACCCAAAAGGUCACCACCAAGACAAUGGAUGGCCAGACUGAAACUGGACCUUCC